UACGAUGAUGGCUGCGAGCCCUGCGG
Molecule: non-coding RNA, 26 nt
Filed under: Homo sapiens (human)
Lineage: Eukaryota; Metazoa; Chordata; Mammalia; Primates; Hominidae
Source: RNAcentral